This 1362-nucleotide ribosomal RNA is filed under the name uncultured bacterium. Its description in RNAcentral is "bacterial SSU rRNA". It matches the Rfam family "Bacterial small subunit ribosomal RNA", at positions 28 to 1382 of the family's 1533-position model. The record is from RNAcentral.
AUUGAACGCUGGCGGCAGGCCUAACACAUGCAAGUCGAGCGGUAGCACAGAGAGCUUGCUCUCGGGUGACGAGCGGCGGACGGGUGAGUAAUGUCUGGGAAACUGCCUGAUGGAGGGGGAUAACUACUGGAAACGGUAGCUAAUACCGCAUAAUGUCGCAAGACCAAAGUGGGGGACCUUCGGGCCUCAUGCCAUCAGAUGUGCCCAGAUGGGAUUAGCUAGUAGGUGGGGUAACGGCUCACCUAGGCGACGAUCCCUAGCUGGUCUGAGAGGAUGACCAGCCACACUGGAACUGAGACACGGUCCAGACUCCUACGGGAGGCAGCAGUGGGGAAUAUUGCACAAUGGGCGCAAGCCUGAUGCAGCCAUGCCGCGUGUGUGAAGAAGGCCUUCGGGUUGUAAAGCACUUUCAGCGGGGAGGAAGGCGGUGAGGUUAAUAACCUCAUCGAUUGACGUUACCCGCAGAAGAAGCACCGGCUAACUCCGUGCCAGCAGCCGCGGUAAUACGGAGGGUGCAAGCGUUAAUCGGAAUUACUGGGCGUAAAGCGCACGCAGGCGGUCUGUCAAGUCGGAUGUGAAAUCCCCGGGCUCAACCUGGGAACUGCAUUCGAAACUGGCAGGCUAGAGUCUUGUAGAGGGGGGUAGAAUUCCAGGUGUAGCGGUGAAAUGCGUAGAGAUCUGGAGGAAUACCGGUGGCGAAGGCGGCCCCCUGGACAAAGACUGACGCUCAGGUGCGAAAGCGUGGGGAGCAAACAGGAUUAGAUACCCUGGUAGUCCACGCCGUAAACGAUGUCGAUUUGGAGGUUGUGCCCUUGAGGCGUGGCUUCCGGAGCUAACGCGUUAAAUCGACCGCCUGGGGAGUACGGCCGCAAGGUUAAAACUCAAAUGAAUUGACGGGGGCCCGCACAAGCGGUGGAGCAUGUGGUUUAAUUCGAUGCAACGCGAAGAACCUUACCUGGUCUUGACAUCCACAGAACUUUCCAGAGAUGGAUUGGUGCCUUCGGGAACUGUGAGACAGGUGCUGCAUGGCUGUCGUCAGCUCGUGUUGUGAAAUGUUGGGUUAAGUCCCGCAACGAGCGCAACCCUUAUCCUUUGUUGCCAGCGGUUAGGCCGGGAACUCAAAGGAGACUGCCAGUGAUAAACUGGAGGAAGGUGGGGAUGACGUCAAGUCAUCAUGGCCCUUACGACCAGGGCUACACACGUGCUACAAUGGCAUAUACAAAGAGAAGCGACCUCGCGAGAGCAAGCGGACCUCAUAAAGUAUGUCGUAGUCCGGAUUGGAGUCUGCAACUCGACUCCAUGAAGUCGGAAUCGCUAGUAAUCGUAGAUCAGAAUGCUACGGUGAAUACGUUCCCGGGGCCU